AUGGCCAAGGCGGAGAAGCUGGUGGUGGAGGUGGUGGCGGCGCACAACCUGAUGCCCAAGGACGGGCAGGGCUCCUCGUCGGCCUACGUGGAGGUGGAGUUCGAGCACCAGAAGCGCCGCACCCGGCCGCGCCCCCGGGAGCUCAACCCCCUCUGGAACGAGCGCCUCGUCUUCCCCGUCGCCGACCCCGACGACCUCCCCUACCGCGCCAUCGACGUCGGCGUCUACAACGACCGCGCCGCCGCCGCCUCCGGGAAUAGCCCCCACGGCCGCAACUUCCUCGGCAAGGUCCGCGUCCCGGCCGCCGGCGUGCCCGCGCCAGGGGAGCCGGUUGUGCCGCAGCUCUUCACGCUCGAGAAGCGGAGCUUGUUCUCGCAUAUCCGCGGUGAGAUCACGCUCAAGAUUUACCGCGCCGGCGCCGGGGCCGGCGAGAUGGUCGCCAAGGGCAAGCAGGAGAAGCCCGCCAAGGCGGUGGUGACUGGCCCCGAGGUCGUCGCCGCGCCGCCUGUGAAUGGCGGCAAGAAGCACCAGCAGCAGCAGCAGCACCGGCACCAGCGCCAGCAGCCGGUUGUGGCCGCGCGGCCGCAUCAGCCGGCGCAGCAGCCGCAGCAGCCCAUGGACGUCAUGCCGCAGCCCCAGCCGGCGGCCAUGAAGCCGGUCAUGCUCGCCGACCACUACCCCGUCCCGGCCAUGUUCCCCGGCGGGCCCGCGGACUUCUCCCUCAAGGAGACGCGGCCACACCUCGGCGGCGGCCUGACGGCCGACAAGGCGAACGCCACCUACGACCUGGUCGAGCAGAUGCAGUACCUGUACGUGCGCGUGGUGCGCGCGCGCGGCGUGGCCACGCCCGGCGAGGCCGUCGCGGAGGUCAAGCUCGGGAACUACCGCGGCGUCACGCCGCCGGCCGCCGCGCACCAGUGGGACCAGGUCUUCGCCUUCUCCAAGGAGACCAUCCAGUCCUCCUUCGUCGAGGUGUUCGUGCGCGCCCGCGGCAGCGACGACCAGGUCGGCCGCAUCUGCUUCGACCUCUCCGAGGUGCCCCGCCGCGCGCCGCCCGACAGCACGCUGGCGCCGCAGUGGUACGCCAUGGAGGACCGCAAGGGCGAGCGCGGCAGCGUGGAGGUGAUGGUCGCCGUGUGGUACGGCACCCAGGCCGACGAGGCCUUCGCCGAGGCGUGGCACUCCAAGGCCGCCGGCGUCCAGGGCCACGGCCCCCUGGGAUCCAUCAAGUCCAAGGUCUACGUCGCCCCCAAGCUCUGGUACCUCCGCGUGUCCGUCAUCGAGGCGCAGGACCUGCUUCCCAUGGACAAGGGGCCCAUGGCGAUGGGCCGGUACCCGGAGCUCUUCGUGCGCGCGCAGAUCGGGAGCCAGAUGCUGCGCACACGUGCGUCACCGAUCAUGGCGAACCGGGGGCCGACGAGCCCGUUCUGGAACGAAGACCUCAUGUUUGUGGUUGCCGAGCCAUUCGAGGAGUUCUUGGUGGUGUCUCUGGAGGAUCAUGUGUCGCCGGGCAGGGACGACAUCCUCGGCCGCCUCGUCGUCCCGGUGACUGCCAUUGAGAGGCGCUGGGAUGAGAAGCUUGUUGUCUCCAGGUGGUUCGGGCUGGACCGCGGCAACGGCGGCGGCAAUGUCGCCGCCAACAAUCCGAACAACAGGUUCGGGAGCCGGGUGCAUCUCCGGCUAAGCCUCGACGGCGGCUACCAUGUUCUGGAUGAGGCAACGGCGUACAGCAGUGACCUCCGGCCGACGGCGAAGCAGCUGUGGUACCCGCACGUCGGGGUGCUCGAGCUCGGCGUUCUCGGUGCCACCGGACUGAUACCGAUGAAGGGCCGGGCCGAUGGCAGGGGCGCGACGGCGGACUCGUACUGCGUCGCGAAGUAUGGGCAGAAGUGGAUCCGCACGCGCACCGUCGUCGACUCGGUGUGCCCCCGCUGGAACGAGCAGUACACCUGGGAGGUGUUCGACCCCUGCACCGUCAUCACCGUCGGCGUGUUCGACAACUGCCAUGUCGACAAGCCGGCGGCGUCAGGGAACAACAACACCACGGUGGCUGUCCGUGACAACUGCAUCGGCAAGGUCCGCAUCAGGCUCUCGACAUUGGAGACCGACAGGGUGUACACUCAUGCCUACCCUCUGCUCAUGCUGCAUCCCUCCGGCGUUAAGAAGAUGGGGGAGCUCCACCUGGCCGUGCGCUUCUGCUCUAGCAAUGCCGGCAACAUGUACCAUGCCUACGCCCGCCCGAUGCUCCCCAAGAUGCACUACGUGGAGCCGCUGCUGGUGCGGCAGGUCGAGAGCCUGCGGUUCCAGGCCACGAGCGUCGUCGCCGCCCGGCUCGGCCGCACCGAGCCGCCGCUCGGCAAGGAGGUCGUGGAGUACAUGUUGGACCACCGCUCGCACCUGUGGAGCAUGCGGCGCAGCAAGGCCAACUUCUUCCGCCUCGUCUCCGUGCUCUCCGGCGUGAUGGCGGUCGGGCGGUGGUUCGAGCUGGUGCGCUCCUGGCACUACCCGGUGCACUCGUGCGUCGCCGUGUUCACGUUCCUGGUGUUCGUCCUGAUGCCGGAGCUGAUCCUGCCGACGGCGUUCCUGGUGAUGGCCUUCACCGGGCUGUGGCGGUACCGCGUGCGGCCGAGGCACCCGCCGCACAUGGACAUGCGGCUGUCCCACGCGGACGCGGCCACCGGCGACGAGCUGGACGAGGAGUUCGACACGUUCCCGUCGAGCCGCGGCGACGUGGUGCGCUUCAGGUACGACCGGCUCCGCAGCGUGGCCGGGAGGGUGCAGACGGUGGUGGGCGACAUCGCGACGCAGGGCGAGCGGAUGCAGGCGGUGCUCAGCUGGCGCGACCCGAGGGCGACGAUGCUCUUCUCCGUCGCCUGCGUGGCUGCCGCGGUCAUCGCCUACGCCGUGCCGAUGAAGCUGCUGGUCGGGCUGUGGGGCCUCUACGCCAUGCGCCCGCCGAGGUUCCGCAGCCGGAUGCCGUCCCCGCUCAUGAACUUCUUCCGGAGGCUGCCGUCCAAGGCCGAUAUCCUGCUAUGA
RNAcentral lists this ribosomal RNA (3036 nucleotides) under Triticum aestivum (bread wheat). RNAcentral's name for it is "partial small subunit ribosomal RNA". Lineage: Eukaryota; Viridiplantae; Streptophyta; Magnoliopsida; Poales; Poaceae. The record is from RNAcentral.